Molecule: ribosomal RNA, 429 nt
Filed under: bacterium
Lineage: Bacteria
Description: partial 16S ribosomal RNA
Rfam family: Bacterial small subunit ribosomal RNA
Source: RNAcentral
UAGGGAAUCUUCAGCAAUGGGGGCAACCCUGACCGAGCAACGCCGCGUGAGUGAAGAAGGUUUUCGGAUCGUAAAGCUCUGUUGUAAGAGAAGAACGUGUGUGAGAGUGGAAAGUUCACACAGUGACGGUAACUUACCAGAAAGGGACGGCUAACUACGUGCCAGCAGCCGCGGUAAUACGUAGGUCCCGAGCGUUGUCCGGAUUUAUUGUGCGUAAAGCGAGCGCAGGCGGUUUAAUAAGUCUGAAGUUAAAGGCAGUGGCUUAACCAUUGUUCGCUUUGGAAACUGUUAAACUUGAGUGCAGAAGGGGAGAGUGGAAUUCCAUGUGUAGCGGUGAAAUGCGUAGAUAUAUGGAGGAACACCGGUGGCGAAAGCGGCUCUCUGGUCUGUAACUGACGCUGAGGCUCGAAAGCGUGGGGAGCAAACAGG